Molecule: transfer RNA, 82 nt
Filed under: Megaloselaginella exaltata
Lineage: Eukaryota; Viridiplantae; Streptophyta; Lycopodiopsida; Selaginellales; Selaginellaceae
Description: tRNA-Tyr
Rfam family: tRNA
About the family: Transfer RNA (tRNA) molecules are approximately 80 nucleotides in length. Their secondary structure includes four short double-helical elements and three loops (D, anti-codon, and T loops).
Source: RNAcentral
GGGUCGGUGCCCGAGCGGUUAAUGGGGACGGAUUGUAAAUCCGUCGGCAAUGCCUACGCUGGUUCGAAUCCAGCCCGACCCA